GAUGAAGAACGUAGCGAAAUGCGAUAAGUAAUGUGAAUUGCAGAAUUCAGUGAAUCAUCGAAUCUUUGAACGCACAUUGCGCCCGCCAGUAUUCUGGCGGGCAUGCCUGUCUGAGCGUCAUUUCAACCCUCAUGCCCCUAGGGCGUGGUGUUGGGGAUCGGCCAAAGCCCGCGAGGGACGGCCGGCCCCUAAAUCUAGUGGCGGACCCGUCGUGGCCUCCUCUGCGAAGUAGUGAUAUUCCGCAUCGGAGAGCGACGAGCCCCUGCCGUUAAACCCCCAACUUUCCAAGGUUGACCUCAGAUCAGGUAGGAAUACCCGCUGAACUUAAGCAUAUCAAAAGCGGAGGA
RNAcentral lists this unclassified non-coding RNA (347 nucleotides) under soil metagenome. RNAcentral's name for it is "partial contains 5.8S ribosomal RNA, internal transcribed spacer 2, and large subunit ribosomal RNA". The stretch from base 1 to 120 matches the Rfam family "5.8S ribosomal RNA", at positions 35 to 154 of the family's 154-position model. The record is from RNAcentral.